UACGGAGGGUGCAAGCGUUAUCCGGAUUCACUGGGUUUAAAGGGUGCGUAGGUGGACUUGUAAGUCAGUGGUGAAAGCCCGGAGCUCAACUCCGGAACUGCCAUUGAUACUGCAGGUCUUGAGUACACUUGAGGUGGGCGGAAUACAUCAUGUAGUGGUGAAAUACUUAGAUAUGAUGUAGAACACCGAAUGCGAAGGCAGCUCACUAAAUUGUAACUGACACUGAGGCACGAAAGCGUGGGGAUCAAACAGG
Molecule: ribosomal RNA, 253 nt
Filed under: uncultured bacterium
Lineage: Bacteria
Description: partial 16S ribosomal RNA
Rfam family: Bacterial small subunit ribosomal RNA
Source: RNAcentral